AACGUAGGACACGAGCGUUAUCCGGAGUUACUGGGCGUAAAGAGCGCGUAGGCGGCUCGUUAAGUGAGAAGUGAAAGCUCUGGGCUCAACCCAGAAACCGCUUUUCAUACUGGCGAGCUGGAGUGAUGCAGAGGUGGAUAGAAUUCCCGGUGUAGCGGUGAAAUGCGUUGAUAUCGGGAGGAAUACCCGUGGCGAAGGCGGUCCACUGGGCAUCAACUGACGCUGAGGCGCGAAAGCGUGGGUAGCAAACAGG
RNAcentral lists this ribosomal RNA (253 nucleotides) under uncultured bacterium. RNAcentral's name for it is "partial 16S ribosomal RNA". It matches the Rfam family "Bacterial small subunit ribosomal RNA", at positions 524 to 776 of the family's 1533-position model. The record is from RNAcentral.